UGACCCUGUGCGGGAGAGUCCUCCGAGUGAGCAUGACGGAGGCGCCGAAGGAGCAAAUCCUCCCCGGAAUCUCUCAGGCAUACGUACCGCACGUGACGA
Non-coding RNA from Streptomyces sp. NRRL S-444, 99 nucleotides. NCBI's taxonomy places the organism in Bacteria, Bacillati, Actinomycetota, Actinomycetes, Kitasatosporales, Streptomycetaceae. The record is from Rfam.